GAUGAACGCUGGCGGCGUGCCUAAUACAUGCAAGUCGAGCGAACGGACGAGAAGCUUGCUUCUCUGAUGUUAGCGGCGGACGGGUGAGUAACACGUGGAUAACCUACCUAUAAGACUGGGAUAACUUCGGGAAACCGGAGCUAAUACCGGAUAAUAUUUUGAACCGCAUGGUUCAAAAGUGAAAGACGGUCUUGCUGUCACUUAUAGAUGGAUCCGCGCUGCAUUAGCUAGUUGGUAAGGUAACGGCUUACCAAGGCAACGAUGCAUAGCCGACCUGAGAGGGUGAUCGGCCACACUGGAACUGGGACACGGUCCCGACUCCUACGGGAGGCAGCAGUAGGGAAUCUUCCGCAAUGGGCGAAAGCCUGACGGAGCAACGCCGCGUGAGUGAUAAAGGUCUUCGGAUCGUAAAACUCUGUUAUUAGGGAAGAACAUAUGUGUAAGUAACUGUGCACAUCUUGACGGUACCUAAUCAGAAAGCCACGGCUAACUACGUG
This 497-nucleotide ribosomal RNA is filed under the name uncultured bacterium. RNAcentral's name for it is "partial 16S ribosomal RNA". It matches the Rfam family "Bacterial small subunit ribosomal RNA", at positions 28 to 507 of the family's 1533-position model. The record is from RNAcentral.